RNAcentral lists this ribosomal RNA (878 nucleotides) under uncultured bacterium. RNAcentral describes it as "bacterial SSU rRNA". It matches the Rfam family "Bacterial small subunit ribosomal RNA", at positions 8 to 916 of the family's 1533-position model. The record is from RNAcentral.
AGAGUUUGAUCCUGGCUCAGGAUGAACGCUGGCGGCGUGCCUAACACAUGCAAGUCGAGCGAUUCUCUUCGGAGAAGAGCGGCGGACGGGUGAGUAACGCGUGGGUAACCUGCCCUGUACACACGGAUAACAUACCGAAAGGUAUGCUAAUACGAGAUAAUAUGCUUUUAUCGCAUGGUAGAAGUAUCAAAGCUUUUGCGGUACAGGAUGGACCCGCGUCUGAUUAGCUAGUUGGUAAGGUAACGGCUUACCAAGGCGACGAUCAGUAGCCGACCUGAGAGGGUGAUCGGCCACAUUGGAACUGAGACACGGUCCAAACUCCUACGGGAGGCAGCAGUGGGGAAUAUUGCACAAUGGGCGAAAGCCUGAUGCAGCAACGCCGCGUGAGCGAUGAAGGCCUUCGGGUCGUAAAGCUCUGUCCUCAAGGAAGAUAAUGACGGUACUUGAGGAGGAAGCCCCGGCUAACUACGUGCCAGCAGCCGCGGUAAUACGUAGGGGGCUAGCGUUAUCCGGAAUUACUGGGCGUAAAGGGUGCGUAGGUGGUUUCUUAAGUCAGAGGUGAAAGGCUACGGCUCAACCGUAGUAAGCCUUUGAAACUGGGAAACUUGAGUGCGGGAGAGGAGAGUGGAAUUCCUAGUGUAGCGGUGAAAUGCGUAGAUAUUAGGAGGAACACCAGUUGCGAAGGCGGCUCUCUGGACUGUAACUGACACUGAGGCACGAAAGCGUGGGGAGCAAACAGGAUUAGAUACCCUGAUAGUCCACGCCGUAAACGAUGAGUACUAGCUGUCGGAGGUUACCCCCUUCGGUGGCGCAGCUAACGCAUUAAGUACUCCGCCUGGAAGUACGCUCGCAAGAGUGAAACUCAAAUGAAUUGACGG